Molecule: long non-coding RNA, 1689 nt
Organism: Myotis brandtii (Brandt's bat)
Lineage: Eukaryota; Metazoa; Chordata; Mammalia; Chiroptera; Vespertilionidae
Exons: 2
Source: RefSeq, a predicted model, not a curated record
CAGCUGAUGGCCUUGGAAGUGAUAGGCACUUUCCAUGCCUUAACUCAUUUAGUCCUUAAAACACCUGAAGUUGGUACUAUUCCUGCUCCCCAGUCAAUGCAACGGAGGCUGUGAAGAGGUUAAGUCUCAAUUGCAUGCAGCUCCUAAGUAGCGGAGACAGGAUUUGAACCCAGGACUGACCGGCUACCAAGACGAGGGAAGAGCCGGCGACAGAGCAUCUUCUGAGCUGCGCCCACCCCACUGCGGCCAGAGGGAGAGAGGGCCCACUGAGGGUGGCUUAUGCGGCCCUCGGAGGACAGAGGACGGAGGAUCGAGGGCGAGGCCAGCCCAGAAGACCUCUGGCAGCCCUGCUGGACACAGCUGGGUCCUGACCUGCUCCCCAUGUCUCCCUGGUGGCCUCGGCCCAGACACCAACCCCUCCAUCACCUGCCCUGGGAGGGGGUGAGGGGCAAGGAAGGACCUCGGACGCUUUUCCAUCCCAAAGCCCUCGGGCACCAGUGUGGGGCCCACGGGGCCAGGAGGACCCAGCUGCCGGGCUGAGCACGGUGCCCUGGACAUGCCUCCCCCGGGGCCUGCCUGUCUCACCAGUUUGGUAGAUCCCGUUAUGGGCCCCUCGUUCCCUUCUCCCCUCUGAGAGCAGGAAGCGACAUGGCACCUUUCCCAGGACCCUGGAAUCCUGGGUGCCAGUUUGUGUGCCAAAGCACCUGAGGGGCAGGUGCCCCCAGGGCCACCGGGGAAAUAGUCGGCCUAUCCCCACUCCAUCACCCCACCUGCUCCCAUUCCCCCUCCUGGCCAGAGGCCCUGUAUGCUGCUGGAUGCCUGCUGAGUCCGGCGGCCUGGCACCGCCAGGGGCACUCCUGCGCCUCCGCUGCCCGCCGUCUCCCUAGUCUGAAGGGGACUGACUGCCUUAAGUUGGAAGGUGGGAGCACGCACUGCCCUUGGAGCUCUGACCCGAGCUCCUACCUGCCCAGCCUUUCCCCAGAGCAGCUCCUGCUUGUCGCACCCGCGUGCUGAUAAGCCAGCCCGGGGCCAGGGUCCUGAGGACAGCACCCAGAUAGGCAGGGUCACCCGGCACUGGUGCCAGGCUGGCCUUGGCUCCUUGGGCCUGGCACAGCCUCCCUGCCCUCCUUCCCAGCCCCUGUGGCCCUGUCCUUGCUCCACCCGAUCCUGGCACCAGCCGCCCCAAAGGGUGGUCAUGAGAAGGCGAGUGUAAAUGCCAGCCUGAGGUAGAGGAAGGUGGGGUGGGCCAGCACAGGGGCUGGAAGUCUGAGGGGCCUGGGCCCCUGGAGAAGGGCCUCCCCAGCACCCCUUCCGAGCCUGCCUGCUGUGUCCCCAAGGGCACCUCCACAGGUGGCUGAACCUCGAAUACCAAGGCCAAGGGGAAGCCAGGCCCGACCUUUCCAUACCAGCCCCUGCCCUGCCCGCCCUCCGCCUGAGGGGCAGCCCUGGAGGGUCUUUGCCUCCUGCAGGGCCCUCCCCUCCCCCACGGUACUGGUACUGUGAACGUCCUGGGACUCAGCAGGGAGACCGACGCCAUAUUUAAUUCAUGUACAGAAAGGAGCCGCAGUCUCGCGAAGAAAAGCUGAGUCCGACAGAUUGAUGCCAAAGAUGGAGGCCUUCUGGGCCUCAGGGGUGCGGGUGUGUGUGUGUGUAUGUGUGUGUGUGUAUAUAUAAAGUGGAGCGAGCGUU